CGGGGCGUAGCGCAGAUGGUAGCGUGUCAAAUUCGGGAUUUGAAGGUCGCCGGUUCGACUCCGGUCGCCCCGA
This 73-nucleotide transfer RNA is filed under the name Marinitoga piezophila KA3. It matches the Rfam family "tRNA". Rfam says of the family: Transfer RNA (tRNA) molecules are approximately 80 nucleotides in length. Their secondary structure includes four short double-helical elements and three loops (D, anti-codon, and T loops). The record is from Rfam by way of RNAcentral. Lineage: Bacteria; Thermotogati; Thermotogota; Thermotogae; Petrotogales; Petrotogaceae.